RNAcentral lists this ribosomal RNA (497 nucleotides) under uncultured bacterium. Its description in RNAcentral is "partial 16S ribosomal RNA". It matches the Rfam family "Bacterial small subunit ribosomal RNA", at positions 28 to 507 of the family's 1533-position model. The record is from RNAcentral.
GAUGAACGCUGGCGGCGUGCCUAAUACAUGCAAGUCGAGCGAACAGACGAGGAGCUUGCUCCUCUGACGUUAGCGGCGGGCGGGUGAGUAACACGUGGGUAACCCACCUAUAAUACUGGGAUAACUUCGGGAAACCGGAGCUAAUACCGGAUAAUAUAUUGUACCGUAUGGUUGAAUAGAGAAAGACGGUUUUGCGGUCACUUCUCGAUCGAUCCGCGCCGUGUUAGCUAGUUGGUAAGGUAACGGCUUACCAAGGAAGCGAUGCGUAGCCGACGUGAGCGGCUGAUCGGCCACACUGGAACUGAGACACGGUCCAGACUCCUACGGGAGGCAGCAGUAGGGAAUCUUCCGCAAUGGGCGAAAGCCUGACGGAGCAACGGCGCGUGAGUGAUGAAGGUCCUCGGAUCGGAAAACUCUGUUAUUAGGGAAGAACAAAUGUGUAAGUAACUAUGCACGUCUUGACGGUACCUAAUCAGAAAGCCACGGCUAACUACGUG